UACGAAGGGGGCUAGCGUUGUUCGGAAUCACUGGGCGUAAAGCGCACGUAGGCGGACGUUUUUUAAGUCAGGGGUGAAAUCCCAGGGCUCAACCCUGGAACUGCCCUUGAUACUGGACGUCUCGAGUCCGGGAGAGGUGAGUGGAACUCCGAGUGUAGAGGUGAAAUUCGUAGAUAUUCGGAAGAACACCAGUGGCGAAGGCGGCUCACUGGCCCGGUACUGACGCUGAGGUGCGAAAGCGUGGGGAGCAAACAGG
This 256-nucleotide ribosomal RNA is filed under the name uncultured bacterium. Its description in RNAcentral is "partial 16S ribosomal RNA". It matches the Rfam family "Bacterial small subunit ribosomal RNA", at positions 524 to 776 of the family's 1533-position model. The record is from RNAcentral.